AGCAGCCGCGGUAAUUCCAGCUCCAAUAGCGUAUAUUAAAGUUGUUGCAGUUAAAAAGCUCGUAGUUGAAUUUCGGGGUCAGCAGGUUGGUCGUGCCACUGGUAUGUACUGGCUUUGCUGAUUCCUCCUUCUUGUAGAACCGUAAUGCCAUUAAGUUGGUGUUGCGGGAAAACAGGACUGUUACAUUGAAAAAAUUAGAGUGUUUAAAGCAGGCUAACGCUUGAAUACAUUAGCAUGGAAUAAUGAAAUAGGACGACGAUCCUAUUUUGUUGGUUUCUAGGAUUGACGUAAUGAUUAAUAGGGAUAGUUGGGGGCAUUAGUAUUCAAUUGUCAGAGGUGAAAUUCUUGGAUUUAUUGAAGACUAACUACUGCGAAAGCAUUUGCCAAGGAUGUUUUCAUUAAUCAAGAACGAAAGUUAGGGGAUCGAAGACGAUCAGAUACCGUCGUAGUCUUAACCAUAAACUAUGCCGACUAGGGAUCGGAUGAAGUUAAUUUUUUAAUGACUCA
RNAcentral lists this ribosomal RNA (507 nucleotides) under uncultured Glomus. Its description in RNAcentral is "SSU rRNA". It matches the Rfam family "Eukaryotic small subunit ribosomal RNA", at positions 569 to 1078 of the family's 1831-position model. The record is from RNAcentral. Lineage: Eukaryota; Fungi; Glomeromycota; Glomeromycetes; Glomerales; Glomeraceae.